This 588-nucleotide ribosomal RNA is filed under the name Cordyceps farinosa. RNAcentral describes it as "eukaryotic LSU rRNA". The stretch from base 224 to 377 matches the Rfam family "5.8S ribosomal RNA". The record is from RNAcentral. Lineage: Eukaryota; Fungi; Ascomycota; Sordariomycetes; Hypocreales; Cordycipitaceae.
CGUAACAAGGUCUCCGUUGGUGAACCAGCGGAGGGAUCAUUACCGAGUUUUCAACUCCCAAACCCUUUUGUGAACAUACCUAUCGUUGCUUCGGCGGACUCGCCCCAGCGUCCGGCCGGCCCCGCGCCGGCCGCGGCCUGGAUCCAGGCGGCCGCCGGAGACCCCCAAACUCUGUAUUCUCAGUAUCUUCUGAAUCCGCCGCAAGGCAAAACAAAUGAAUCAAAACUUUCAACAACGGAUCUCUUGGUUCUGGCAUCGAUGAAGAACGCAGCGAAAUGCGAUAAGUAAUGUGAAUUGCAGAAUUCAGUGAAUCAUCGAAUCUUUGAACGCACAUUGCGCCCGCCAGCAUUCUGGCGGGCAUGCCUGUUCGAGCGUCAUUUCAACCCUCGACUUCCCUUUGGGGAAAUCGGCGUUGGGGACCGGCCGUAUACCGCCGGCCCCGAAAUGAAGUGGCGGCCCGUCCGCGGCGACCUCUGCGUAGUAAUCCAACUCGCACCGGAACCCCGACGUGGCCACGCCGUAAAACCCCCGACUUCUGAACGUUGACCUCGGAUCAGGUAGGAAUACCCGCUGAACUUAAGCAUAUCA